This 604-nucleotide ribosomal RNA is filed under the name Streptomyces huangiae. RNAcentral's name for it is "bacterial SSU rRNA". It matches the Rfam family "Bacterial small subunit ribosomal RNA", at positions 281 to 873 of the family's 1533-position model. Lineage: Bacteria; Bacillati; Actinomycetota; Actinomycetes; Kitasatosporales; Streptomycetaceae. The record is from RNAcentral.
UGGUAGCGGCCUGAGAGGGCGACCGGCCACACUGGGACUGAGACACGGCCCAGACUCGUACGGGAGGCAGCAGGGGGAAUAUUGCACAAUGGGCGAAAGCCUGAUGCAGCGACGCCGCGUGAGGGAUGACGGCCUUCGGGUUGUAAACCUCUUUCAGCAGGGAAGAAGCGAAAGUGACGGUACCUGCAGAAGAAGCGCCGGCUAACUACGUGCCAGCAGCCGCGGUAAUACGUAGGGCGCAAGCGUUGUCCGGAAUUAUUGGGCGUAAAGAGCUCGUAGGCGGCUUGUCACGUCGGUUGUGAAAGCCCGGGGCUUAACCCCGGGUCUGCAUUCGAUACGGGCAGGCUAGAGUGCGGUAGGGGAGAUCGGAAUUCCUGGUGUAGCGGUGAAAUGCGCAGAUAUCAGGAGGAACACCGGUGGCGAAGGCGGAUCUCUGGGCCGAUACUGACGCUGAGGAGCGAAAGCGUGGGGAGCGAACAGGAUUAGAUACCCUGGUAGUCCACGCCGUAAACGGUGGGCACUAGGUGUGGGCGACAUUCCACGUCGUCCGUGCCGCAGCUAACGCAUUAAGUGCCCCGCCUGGGGAAGUCCGGAGGGGCUGGGA